CCUACGGGAGGCAGCAGUGAGGAAUAUUGGUCAAUGGACGAGAGUCUGAACCAGCCAAGUAGCGUGAAGGAUGACUGCCCUAUGGGUUGUAAACUUCUUUUAUAUGGGAAUAAAACGUUCCACGUGUGGGAUUUUGUAUGUACCAUAUGAAUAAGGAUCGGCUAACUCCGUGCCAGCAGCCGCGGUAAUACGGAGGAUCCGAGCGUUAUCCGGAUUUAUUGGGUUUAAAGGGAGCGUAGGUGGAUUGUUAAGUUAGUUGUGAAAGUUUGCGGCUCAACCGUAAAAUUGCAGUUGAGACUGGCAGUCUUGAGUACAGUAGAGGUAGGCGGAAUUCGUGGUGUAGCGGUGAAAUGCUUAGAGAUCACGAAGAACUCCGAUUGCGAAGGCAGUUCACUGGACUGCAACUGACACUGAGGCUCGAAAGUGUGGGUAUCAAACAGGAUUAGAUACCCGUGUAGUC
RNAcentral lists this ribosomal RNA (460 nucleotides) under uncultured bacterium. Its description in RNAcentral is "partial 16S ribosomal RNA". It matches the Rfam family "Bacterial small subunit ribosomal RNA", at positions 338 to 795 of the family's 1533-position model. The record is from RNAcentral.